UUUUUCAUCCUCUCAUUUGGAGAGGGACAUGGGCUGUCAUCAGUGACUGUCUGGAAUGCGGCGUGGUUGUGUUGUGAUAAGCACUGAUCGACCGACCACGACUGUUCUUGU
Molecule: unclassified non-coding RNA, 111 nt
Filed under: uncultured Rozellomycota
Lineage: Eukaryota; Fungi; Rozellomycota
Description: uncultured Cryptomycota sequence contains ITS2
Source: RNAcentral